Molecule: ribosomal RNA, 369 nt
Filed under: uncultured phototrophic eukaryote
Lineage: Eukaryota
Description: SSU rRNA
Rfam family: Bacterial small subunit ribosomal RNA
Source: RNAcentral
UACGGGGGAUGCAAGCGUUAUCCGGAAUCAUUGGGCGUAAAGCGCCUGUAGGUUGUUUAAUAAGUCUGUUGUUAAAGACUAGGGCUUAACCCUAGGAAAGCAAUGGAAACUACUAGACUAGAGUAUGGCAGGGGUAGAGGGAAUUUCUAGUGUAGCGGUGAAAUGCGUAGAUAUUAGAAAGAACACCAGUGGCGAAAGCGCUCUACUGGACCAUUACUGACACUCAGAGGCGAAAGCUAGGGUAGCAAAAGGGAUUAGAUACCCCUGUAGUCCUAGCCGUAAACGAUGGAUACUAGAUGUUGCAUGUUAUAUGCUGUAUCUUAGCUAACGCGUUAAGUAUCCCGCCUGGGGAGUACGCUCGCAAGGGUG